UGGAUUUUUUUUUUUUUAAAGUAUUAAUAAGUGAGAGUUUGGGUACGACGAAGGGUAAAUUUGUAAUUAUGCCUGCUUAAAAGCCCUGGCUUCCUUUGCUUCCUCAAUCUGCUUCUUCUUCCUGAACCAAAAUUGUCCAUUUUUAGCUCUAAUUUUUCCCUAAUCACGGUGAGUUCUCUUCUAUUUGUGCCGUGGUAAUUGUUUUUUGGUUUGGUGCUUCUCUGUUGUUGCUUCAACCAUUCUACUUUUUUGAUGAGGCUUUUGAUGCUAUCUUUUUCUCUCCAUGUUCUUUUGGUAGAAUUUGUACAUGCAUGUGCCAUCAGCUUAUAAUAUGUUUGUUAUCUUUGAUUUUCUUAUAUUUCACUUUAAGUUCUUUUAUGAGAUAGGGAUUGUUACUGGAUCCACAAAGUGUUCGACAAAAUUUCUAGAAAACCCUAAUCUACUGUUCCUGAUCAGAUUACGUGAUUUAGUUAAGGCCAAUUUGAAGGUAUUCACUCAAAUCAACCAAGGAAAUAAUGACAAGGCACAUAGUGGACAAAUACAAAUAUGAUUGUCUAUCAGAUCGAUUAGGUCAGUGAGGACUUCUACCUUUUGGACUUCCAAGGGACAGGACCAACACACUAUAAAAUUCGGAUUGCUUAUUUUAUUUGCUUUUAUUAGUGUAUUGUUGAUUACACCCUUGUUCUUUCUUUAUCGUUGGUUAUUUAACUCUGCAGAUGUUGGAGUUAAGCACGUCAAUCUGGCAAUCAAAUUUUAUUCUUAGUGUAUGCCGAAUUGAAUUAUGUCGCUAAGGUGUUUAGUCAAUAAUUCUUUAGAGGAGGUAUGUAGCCUCUUCUUUGAGUGCAUAAAGUUGCAUUUGUUAGAUGAGAAGUAAAAAGGAAUACCGAAAAUUUGAGUGGCUGAAGCUAAAGCAACUACUUUCGAAGUUAGUGAUUUGAUCUUUUUGAUAACUCCUUUUUUGGAGAACUCCAAGCUAUUAAGGAGACGAAAAGCUAUGUAAAGUAAAAGAGGGUCGAGGAGAGGUCCUUGAAGAUCACUUGCCCAGCUCUGGAAGGACAUGAGUGGACUGGAUUUGUCCAAAAAAUACAGGGCGGAGUUAACUUAUUUUUUUGAGAAGGUAAAACAAAAAUGUCUCGGUAUUCGAUCAAACAGAGAUAUUAGUGAUGCAAAAGCUCAUUGAUCAGUGAAGUAUUUAACCAUCAAUUAUGUUAAAUGGAAAAAAAAAAAAUUACCUUCAGAUGUUAUUGAUUAUAGUUUGUGCAUCUAAACUACCUAUCAACAAAAAAUGAAUUGUCUAAACUACAUUUCUAAUUAGAUUUUUUAAGGCAACAUACUUGAUCAUUCUUCACCAAAUUUAUAAGUAAUUUUCCGAUUAUAGUGACAUAUAAUUAUUCUUAAGGCGAUAUUCUAUUGGAGAUUCUGACGAGAAGAAGACCAGUGAGGUGCAAAAGAGAAAGUUAUUGCUUGCUUGAUCAUCAAAAACUAAUGUUGACAGCUACUGUGACUUUAAAUUAUCGAAAAUGUUAAUCUAAUUGUAAGUUUUUAGUUUGCUUGUUCUGUAAUGACAUAUCUUCUUGGUUUUAACUUUAUUUGUAAUCAUGUAGCUGUGUUUUUUGGAAUAUGAAGCCAACAUUAGGGGUAAUAAAGGCAAAAAGGUAGAGAGUAAUGCAUGUUUCAUGUUGUAUCAUAUGAGAUUAUACCUCCAGCUAAAGCAAGUAACUUUUUGUCUUUCCAUGUGAACGUAACAGGCAUUUGGCAUGUCAUUUGAGAUUUGUUCAUUUUUAGCAUAUAGCCCCUAUGUUCAUGAGUUUGUGAUGUACCUAUAUUCAAUCCUAAUUAUUACUAGCUAACUAUGUGGACUUUCUAGAGGAUGUACGUGUCUAUUAUUUGCAGACCCAUUUCAAUUUAAUUUUAGGUGCUUGUGCUUUGGUAAAAUUUUAAUUUCUCUCUGUUUGCAUGUCGUUCUUCUCUCUACUUUCUGGUUAGUUCUAUUUUUCUGUUCCAUUUCUGCUUCUUUUUUGUUUCCACUAUUCUGAAGUUGUUUCCAUAUAUUCACAAAUUUCAUCAAUUUCCUCUCUUUUUUCCAUUUGAGUUACUCUCUCCUCUUUGGCCCUUUCAUCUUCACUUCAAUUUCUACUUUUGUGGUUUGCUUUCAUCAAUUUCAGAUGGUCAUGCUUCUAUUGACGUCCUGCUGCUGUUAAUUCUUUUAUAGGGAGUUGGAAGGUUUCACACAUUUCUUAAGAUUAAAGGAAUUCUGGGUUGUUUAUGGGCGGACGGUGAAUAAAUUUUGAAGUGAAGUUUGGUUAAGCAUUGAAGCCAUGGAAGCUGAGAAGAUCUAUUACAGAUGUUUCUGCCACUGAACUUGCUUAUUCACUGGAAAGAACUGUAUUAUGAGUUGGAGCUGGAAGGGUAUGAGAUGGGGAGAAAUUCAUAAACAAGAUGUAUAUUCCAAGCAACAGAGUUCAACUAGGUAACUUGGCCAAGAUGAAUCUAUUUGAGGAAGGAGAGAAACAGAAUAUGCUUUUCUGGAGUUUGUUUUGUAAUAUGACGUCAUAUUCAGAUAUCACCUCAGGAAACCCCCUAUAAUGUGGUUAGUGUCCAACCUAUUGGACGAACUUUGCGCACUUUUCAUUUAGGAACUUAGUAUUAGUGGAUUUUAAGUGUCAAGUAUUUAAGUAGACUUAACUGAAAAGGCUUUUGUAUGUAUUUAUUUUCCCUGUGUGCUAACAUCAUUUAGUACAUGCUUUUAUACCUUUUCAGCUACUCGAUAUAUAUCUAUCUAUACAUGUUUUACCUAGAGGAUAGGACACAAGAAUCGGGUAUUGUGGAAAUUAUUUAUCACUCUAUCUUCUUAUAAAAGGCAGAAAUGAAAAGAGAGUUAUGGCAGAGUAUAUUUGGGAUAAAGAACCUACCUCUGUACCCUUUGGUUUUCUUUAAUUAUAUUUGGUGCAAUAGUCUUCGGUGUUGUGUUCAACCACCUGGGAGACAUUUUAGAAUUAAUACAGCUUUACAUAAAGGAAAAAUUAUUUUGUUAUCUGUCCUUUACUUGGCAGGAGGUCAAAGAUCAUAAAAUCCAUUUUAUUCCUUUGUUUUGCUGGAAUGCCAUCUUUAGCUCUUAGAUGACUAACCUUGGCAUUUUGGCUGUCAUGCUAUUAGAAAAUAUGCUAAUGCCGUAAAGUGUGCUAACAUAAUUCAUAACACUGCCCAGUGUCUCAUACCGUGUCAGUAACUGUUUGAAUCUACUCCCAACAACAGUUGAAGUGCUUUCACAGAAACUAUAUCCUUAACUUCGUCAAAUCUUCUAAGUUGUCAAGUUGUAUUUACACAGUUGACAGAUCUUUGAGAACGCCUCCAUGCUAGGACUUUAAAUUCGCGUAUGUUUACUGGAUUCUCUAAUUUGGUUGAUCUUGUGUUUAAAAUAUAUAUUUUUCCCGAGAGCAUACUUGUCUUUUGAUUUUUUAGACAUUGAAGGAUGCCAGAGUCCAUAAGGUAGGUAUAAUUUGGAUGUGUUGGAAGUGAAGUGAACGCUAGGUUUUAUUUGACUGCUACAUGUUUUAAUUUUUUUUCCAGCCUAAUCUAUGUUAUCAGUUGGAAUCUUCAACUUUGUCUUCCAUAUUUCCCCAGACAAUAAUGUUUCAUACCUGUGGUCUCCUGAUUUGUUUAGAAACCUUGUAAUUUAUAUUUUGCAGGUUAACCCCUUGCAGGAAAAAGUUCAAUCUUUUUCAUCCUCGAUGGUUUCCUCCGUCACAUGUAUUUGAAGCAGAAAAUUCAUUUAGAUGGAUGAAAAUGGCUUUGCGUUACCAUUAGAAGAUAUUAUUAGUUUGAUAAUUCUCCUGUUUGUGUAAUUGUAACUAAAGUGAUAGAAUACAAGUACUUUUUGGCUAUAUUGUUGUAGUUCAGUUAUAGAGUUACCUUAACUAAUUUACUCAUCUGUGUUGAACCUUU
Long non-coding RNA from Lycium ferocissimum, 3945 nucleotides. RefSeq lists it as uncharacterized. The record is from RefSeq and is a predicted model, not a curated record. The transcript is spliced from 4 exons. NCBI's taxonomy places the organism in Eukaryota, Viridiplantae, Streptophyta, Magnoliopsida, Solanales, Solanaceae.